UACGGAGGGUGCAAGCGUUAUCCGGAUUCACUGGGUUUAAAGGGUGCGUAGGCGGGUAGGUAAGUCAGUGGUGGAAAUCUUCGAGCUUAACUCGGAAACUGCCUUUGAUACUAUCUAUCUUGAAUAUUGUGGAGGUAAGCGGAAUAUGUCAUGUAGCGGUGAAAUGCUUAGAUAUGACAUAGAACACCGAAUUGCGAAGGCAGCUGACUACAGGGAUAUUGACACUGAGGCACGAAAGCGUGGGGAUCAAACAGG
Molecule: ribosomal RNA, 255 nt
Filed under: uncultured bacterium
Lineage: Bacteria
Description: partial 16S ribosomal RNA
Rfam family: Bacterial small subunit ribosomal RNA
Source: RNAcentral